GAUGAACGCUGGCGGCGUGCCUAAUACAUGCAAGUCGAGCGAACGGACGAGAAGCUUGCUUCUCUGAUGUUAGCGGCGGACGGGUGAGUAACACGUGGAUAACCUACCUAUAAGACUGGGAUAACUUCGGGAAACCGGAGCUAAUACCGGAUAAUAUUUUGAACCGCAUGGUUCAAAAGUGAAAGACGGUCUUGCUGUCACUUAUAGAUGGAUCCGCGCUGCAUUAGCUAGUUGGUAAGGUAACGGCUUACCAAGGCAACGAUGCAUAGCCGACCUGAGAGGGUGAUCGGCCACACUGGAACUGAGACACGGUCCAGACUCCUACGGGAGGCAGCAGUAGGGAAUCUUCCGCAAUGGGCGAAAGCCUGACGGAGCAACGCCGCGUGAGUGAUGAAGGUCUUCGGAUCGUAAAACUCUGUUAUUAGGGAAGAACAUAUGUGUAAGUAACUGUGCACAUCUUGACGGUACCUAAUCAGAAAGCCACGGCUAACUACGUGCCAGCAGCCGCGGUAAUACGUAGGUGGCAAGCGUUAUCCGGAAUUAUUGGGCGUAAAGCGCGCGUAGGCGGUUUUUUAAGUCUGAUGUGAAAGCCCACGGCUCAACCGUGGAGGGUCAUUGGAAACUGGAAAACUUGAGUGCAGAAGAGGAAAGUGGAAUUCCAUGUGUAGCGGUGAAAUGCGCAGAGAUAUGGAGGAACACCAGUGGCGAAGGCGACUUUCUGGUCUGCAACUGACGCUGAUGUGCGAAAGCGUGGGGAUCAAACAGGAUUAGAUACCCUGGUAGUCCACGCCGUAAACGAUGAGUGCUAAGUGUUAGGGGGUUUCCGCCCCUUAGUGCUGCAGCUAACGCAUUAAGCACUCCGCCUGGGGAGUACGACCGCAAGGUUGAAACUCAAAGGAAUUGACGGGGACCCGCACAAGCGGUGGAGCAUGUGGUUUAAUUCGAAGCAACGCGAAGAACCUUACCAAAUCUUGACAUCCUUUGACAACUCUAGAGAUAGAGCCUUCCCCUUCGGGGGACAAAGUGACAGGUGGUGCAUGGUUGUCGUCAGCUCGUGUCGUGAGAUGUUGGGUUAAGUCCCGCAACAAGCGCAACCCUUAAGCUUAGUUGCCAUCAUUAAGUUGGGCACUCUAAGUUGACUGCCGGUGACAAACCGGAGGAAGGUGGGGAUGACGUCAAAUCAUCAUGCCCCUUAUGAUUUGGGCUACACACGUGCUACAAUGGACAAUACAAAGGGCAGCGAAGCCGCGAGGUCAAGCAAAUCCCAUAAAGUUGUUCUCAGUUCGGAUUGUAGUCUGCAACUCGACUACAUGAAGCUGGAAUCGCUAGUAAUCGUAGAUCAGCAUGCUACGGUGAAUACGUUCCCGGGUCU
Molecule: ribosomal RNA, 1372 nt
Filed under: uncultured bacterium
Lineage: Bacteria
Description: bacterial SSU rRNA
Rfam family: Bacterial small subunit ribosomal RNA
Source: RNAcentral